Molecule: long non-coding RNA, 605 nt
Filed under: Malus domestica (apple)
Lineage: Eukaryota; Viridiplantae; Streptophyta; Magnoliopsida; Rosales; Rosaceae
Description: long non-coding RNA (MDOM_LNC021042)
Source: RNAcentral
AUGAGACCAUUCUUUCGUAGACACAUCCUAAAUGUUCCUGAUCAUAGGAUUGCCAAUUGGGCAUUGACAGUUGAUCGGAUGAUAUUUAUAUAUAUUUUUACUUCGAAUUCACUCGUCUUUUCUUAGUUAGUUCCUUAUAUUUUUAAGCUAUUUACGUUAUUUUUGUGUUUAUAGGAUUUGUUAUGCAAAGAAAAUAAAAAUAGAACAAGUGAAAUUUUAUGUAAUAAAUUCGUCAAAAGCAAAUUUAAAUUACAAUUUUGCUAAUCCAUUGUGACGCUAAAUGAUAAACCAAUUUUUAAACUAUACAUUUCAUCCUUUUAUAAUUCUUUUCUUGUCUAAUUUAGUUGGAAGCUUUAAGUAUUUAUGAUACUUUUGAUAUAUUGUGUUUGUAGGAGUAACAUGAUCAAAAGAACUUAUUUUUCUACUAUGUGGGGCUGCUAGAAACUAAAUGAAAAUAAAAGGAGACAGCUAAGAGGGAAUGAGUAAGCUGCCCUUGCAGCUUUGAAAAGUCAAAAGGAAAUGGCAUAAAAAAAUAACAAAAGGAGACGUGGGCGGAAAGAGCUGCCUGGCAGCUUUGAACAACAAUAAAAAUAGAAGAGAGCAGU